AAUUGCGCGUGCUCGCCGAGUCUACGAGUCCGUAGGCCGUCCCAUUCAGCAUUUUAACGCUCUGAAGUGUGCUCAGCAGCGCCCCUUUGUACCCUUGAAGCGGUCUUCCGCGAAUCUACCCAAUCUAAAGAAAAUCUAAAUGCAACUUAUGCAAACACAAGACCUGAGUUCAAUAUAAUUGUUUCCAGGUUUUUUCUCACACUCAUAAUUACAGCAAUCUACCCAGGAAUCCUUGCGAAAUCCUUGUGAAACUGUGGUCUCUUUUUUUCUGUUUCUACUCUCCCAACUUAUGUAAGGACUUGUUUAUUUCCUGGAAAAUGAAAGUAUCGCAUCCAGCAAGAGCUUUGUGAAACUGAAACUCACGGUGAAACUGAAACUCACGGUGAAAUUGUCGGUGGUCCUGCAAGAGCCUGAGAAGUAGCCAAGAACGAACCUCUGAUACAUUUGCUGAAAUCACUUUAAAACACAUUUUUAUUUCCUCCAAACAGAGUUCUAGCUUUCAUUUGACCACUGGACAAAGAUCAAGUUGGAUCAUUCUGAAAAAUUUUUGGUCUGCCGGAGAAACCCAUCCUCCUUCUCAAUGGAAACGUCAUUCUGUUACCCCAGUUUUCUACCUGACACAGAAAGCAUAAUGUCUGUGAUGCAUGAACUGAAGGAAAAGAACUUAACAGACAACACCCUUCUCUCCAACUUGGAAUUUGCUGAGAGAUUCAUUAGAGACCAUCCUCUAAAACCGUACUCCAAAUUGCUAGUCAAAGGAAAUUACUUUUGUGUACAAAUUGGUCAGAAUCCCUCGCAAGUUUUUACUGUAACAUCAGAAAACAACCAAACCUAUGUCAAUGUCUUUAUAGGCAACCAGUGUGGUGAAAAAAUCAAAACGUCUUUAAUUGAGGCCAGGCACUUUUUCAACCACUCCUGCCAGGAUGAGAUUAAAUCCUGUUUUACACAGGCACAAGAAGCUGUUACUAAAGAGGUUCUGAUAAGAUUGCACAUCAAAUGCAACAGGUUCUCAGUCACAUAUGCCACUCAAUUUAGUGGUCCAUGUGCAACUGUGGAAACGAAAUGUCAGUUAAAGCUAGAGAACCUCACUGCUGAGGGUUUACUGAACAAAAAAGUCUGGCUGCAGAAAGAGAAGCCCACAUGUCAUGGUUUGAUAGCAUGUCUAGACCAUCUCAUAAAGCAAUACCUGACCACAAGCAGUACUAUAUGCCACUCCUAUAGAUUUCUCAUACAUGCAGACAAAGAAAUGAUCAGAAUCACUUCAUGUGUAGAAAAAGAAAGAGAAUGUGUAUUAAUACAUGAUCAUGAAGGGGUCUCAAUGUUUCCUCCAACAUUGCAGUAAAAGUUAUGACCGCACUCCAGAAAACUGCAACAUAGUCUGUUGAAAUAUCUUCAUAUGCAUUUUUAAAGACUAAAGAUUAAAUGAAAUCAUUAUAUUCACGUAUUCACAUAAAUUCAUUACGUAAAAAAUUACUUUACUUUAAAAUAUUACUUGAGAAAUAAAUCAUACAAUGGCAUUACUUGGAGUACAAUACAGUAUAUGUAAUGUUUUUUUGUUGUUAUUGUUGUUUUUGUGGCAAGCAGAUGUUUUUUAUAGAUUUACAUUUGCAUGAUUAACUUCAUCUGUGUUCACUGACAAAAAUGGUAGAUUCUGUGUUGACAUUCUUUAACAUCCUAAAAAUAGACAAUAUGUAAAUAACUUCAUUCUUUGUUAUUUGUAGUUCUUUAUUCUGCAUGUAUUUUGCCUUGGAUUUUAUGAAUUAAAGUGAUAACAGUCAGCUCAUCGGAUACUACUGUAUAUAUCAAUGUACAACAAACAGAGAAUUUCAAGCAUAAUAAAACUGCCUAAAACAUUUAA
Molecule: long non-coding RNA, 1858 nt
Organism: Cyprinus carpio (common carp)
Lineage: Eukaryota; Metazoa; Chordata; Actinopteri; Cypriniformes; Cyprinidae
Source: RefSeq, a predicted model, not a curated record